This 265-nucleotide ribosomal RNA is filed under the name Lepomis gibbosus (pumpkinseed sunfish). Its description in RNAcentral is "partial large subunit ribosomal RNA". Lineage: Eukaryota; Metazoa; Chordata; Actinopteri; Centrarchiformes; Centrarchidae. The record is from RNAcentral.
AGCUUUAGACGCCUGAGUAAGUCACGUUAAACACCCCCGGACACGGGGCUAAACCAAAUGAAAAUUACUCCAUGUCUUUGGUUGGGGCGACCGCGGGGAACCAAAAAACCCCCACGUGGACUGGAAUUAUGCAAUUCCACAACUAAGAGCCCCCGCUCUAGUUAACAGUAUCACUGACCAAUUAAGAUCCGGCAGAGCCGAUCAACGAACCGAGUUACCCUAGGGAUAACAGCGCAAUCCCCUUUUAGAGCCCAUAUCGACAAGG